This 273-nucleotide ribosomal RNA is filed under the name uncultured bacterium. Its description in RNAcentral is "partial 16S ribosomal RNA". It matches the Rfam family "Bacterial small subunit ribosomal RNA", at positions 524 to 796 of the family's 1533-position model. The record is from RNAcentral.
UACGGAGGGGGCUAGCGUUGUUCGGAAUUACUGGGCGUAAAGCGCACGUAGGCGGCUUUGCAAGUUAGAGGUGAAAGCCCGGAGCUCAACUCCGGAAUUGCCUUUAAAACUGCAUCGCUAGAAUUGUGGAGAGGUGAGUGGAAUUCCGAGUGUAGAGGUGAAAUUCGUAGAUAUUCGGAAGAACACCAGUGGCGAAGGCGACUCACUGGACACAUAUUGACGCUGAGGUGCGAAAGCGUGGGGAGCAAACAGGAUUAGAAACCCUAGUAGUCC